This 229-nucleotide long non-coding RNA is filed under the name Nicotiana benthamiana. RNAcentral's name for it is "long non-coding RNA (NBEN_LNC036916)". The record is from RNAcentral. Lineage: Eukaryota; Viridiplantae; Streptophyta; Magnoliopsida; Solanales; Solanaceae.
UGCAAACCACCUCAUGUUCCACAGAACCUGUUGAAACCCCAAAACCAAGAUUUCAUCGCCAGAAAAUGCUAGGAAGAAAAACUGUAGCUACUGGUUCUCUGAGGAAGACAUUGAAUGAAAAAUUACAUUCCAGUCAAAAAAAGAAGUCUCACAGCAAAGGAGACCAACUCUAGCUCUGAAUCUGAUGACUACACCUCUGCCAGUGAAGGAGAUGAACCUAGGUCUUCUA